This 405-nucleotide ribosomal RNA is filed under the name uncultured bacterium. Its description in RNAcentral is "partial 16S ribosomal RNA". It matches the Rfam family "Bacterial small subunit ribosomal RNA", at positions 30 to 526 of the family's 1533-position model. The record is from RNAcentral.
AUUGAACGCUGGCGGCAGGCCUAACACAUGCAAGUCGAACGAGUGGCGGACGGGUGAGUAAUGUCUGGGAAACUGCCUGAUGGAGGGGGAUAACUACUGGAAACGGUAGCUAAUACAGCAUCCAUCGGAUGUGCCCAGAUGGGAUUAGCUUGUUGGUUGGGUAAGGGCUCACCACUGCGACGAUCCCUAGCGGGUCUGAGAGGAUGACCAGCAACACUGGAACUGAGACACGGUCCAGACUCCUACGGGAGGAAGCAGUGGGGAAUAUUGCACAAUGGGCGAAAGCCUGAUGCAGCCAUGCCGCGUGUAUGAAGAAGGCCUUCGGGUUGUAAAGUACUUUCAGCGGGGAGGCGUUACCCGCAGAAGAAGCACCGGCUAACUCCGUGCCAGCAGCCGCGGUAAUUC